GUUGCCACUGUAUAUUGUGUUUUCACAGUAAUUCAUUGUGAAAUGGCAUCAUGGGAUUGAGCGGGUGUAUUUAUGUUUGAAAUGGACAUGAACACCGAAGAGUCAUCAUUCAAAAUUGUUGGCAGGAACGAGGCAGCAAAAAGCGCGGGUCUUGGCUGGACUGCAAAGUGGUGAGACGAAUCUUAAAUGAACUUGAAGGCACGAGACAGCAGAGAUCGCAACAGCAAACUUCAUAGGACUGGUGGUGUGGGACAAAUGAGAAAAGGUGAAAAACCCAUUGUACACUGCCUUUUUUUUAUGGAUGGAUGCUAUAUUUCACUAU
Long non-coding RNA from Tachysurus fulvidraco (yellow catfish), 322 nucleotides. RefSeq lists it as uncharacterized. NCBI's taxonomy places the organism in Eukaryota, Metazoa, Chordata, Actinopteri, Siluriformes, Bagridae. The transcript has 3 exons. The record is from RefSeq and is a predicted model, not a curated record.